This 305-nucleotide ribosomal RNA is filed under the name uncultured bacterium. RNAcentral's name for it is "bacterial SSU rRNA". It matches the Rfam family "Bacterial small subunit ribosomal RNA", at positions 335 to 657 of the family's 1533-position model. The record is from RNAcentral.
UGGCCUACGGGGGGCAGCAGUGGGGAAUAUUGCACAAUGGGGGAAACCCUGAUGCAGCAACGCCGCGUGAGUGAAGAAGUCAUUCGUGAUGUAAAGCUCUAUCAGCAGGGAAGAAAAUGACGGUACCUGAGUAAGAAGCCCCGGCUAACUACGUGCCUGCAGCCGCGGUAAUACGUAGGGGGCAAGCGUUAUCCGGAUUUACUGGGUGUAAAGGGAGCGUAGACGGCAGCGCAAGUCUGGAGUGAAAUGCCGGGGCUCAACCCCGGAACUGCUUUGGAAACUGUGCAGCUAGAGUGCGGGAGAGG